UACAGAGGGUGCGAGCGUUAAUCGGAAUUACUGGGCGUAAAGCGUGCGUAGACGGCUAUCUAAGUCGGGUGUGAAAGCCCCGGGCUCAACCUGGGAAUUGCAUUCGAGACUGAAUAGCUAGGGUACGGUAGAGGGAAGCGGAAUUUCCGGUGUAGCGGUGAAAUGCGUAGAUAUCGUAAGGAAGACCAGCGGCGAAGGCGAGUUCCUGGACAGUUACUGACGCUGAGGCACGAAGGCCAGGGGAGCAAACGGG
This 253-nucleotide ribosomal RNA is filed under the name uncultured bacterium. RNAcentral's name for it is "partial 16S ribosomal RNA". It matches the Rfam family "Bacterial small subunit ribosomal RNA", at positions 524 to 776 of the family's 1533-position model. The record is from RNAcentral.